Molecule: long non-coding RNA, 14324 nt
Organism: Ictalurus punctatus (channel catfish)
Lineage: Eukaryota; Metazoa; Chordata; Actinopteri; Siluriformes; Ictaluridae
Source: Ensembl
GUGUGUGUGUGUGUGUGUGUGUGUGUGUGUGUGUAUGUAUAUAUAUGUUGGCCAAAAUUCAGCCACAGCAACAUUUGAUGGUUUUUCUCAGACUGUCACACAAAUAUUAUACAGUGUCUGUAAAAGCUAAACAGAGUUUAGGCAUCGAUAAAACAUUUCUGUAAAAGAUAGAUGAGUGCACUAUACUUUAAAAGAACCCUUUAAAGAGAAAUUCAGUGAAGAUGUGUGUGUGUGUGUGUUUAUAAAAUAACUGUUUUGCUCCAAUUGUAAAAGUAACCACUAAACUACUAUGAACAUAAAACAGGCAUGGAUCCAUAAGCAUCGCCUUAAACAAUGAUUUAAAGUGUAAUUCUUUCUCCUCACACUAUAUAAUGCUACAUUUACUGUAUGCUCAUAUUUAUAUAGUCCUGCCAUUCAAGGGAUAAAUCUUUGAUAAGAAGUGUGAAAGAAUUCUUUCAUUGAUUUAUUGAUUUAUUUGCCUUCAUCUGGAUGAUUUUUGCAUCCUUUGCCACUGGACACAAGGCAGGAAUACACCCUUAAAGAGAUGCCGCUGCAGGUCAACAUGCACACUCGUUCACAUCUAGGAGCAAUUUAGAGUAGGCAGUCCAUCAACAGGCAUGUUUUUGUGAGGAAACCAGAGGCCCUGGAGGAAACUCAUGCAGACAUGAGGAGAACAUGCACAUAGACAGUUCAGGAUCGAACCAGGGACCUUGGAGCUGUGAGUUGUCUUAUUGUCGUAGUGCUUCAAUAUCUAUGAAGGGACCUGUAAGUAAACGCUUGGAAUAGGCAUGGGAGGCAGCAUACAUAACCACACUGCUACGUUACAAACACAAGAUACAUAUCCCAUAAUCCUGUGCGUCAGUCAAUCUGAAAAACAAAACUAAACAAAACAAAAACAAAGAAUGAUCAUGCCUCGACUAACAGACUUUUAACUUUAAUGGCCUUAUCAUAUGUUUUUAACGUAGCCGUGUGGUGAUAUACGCAGUCUCCUCCGCCUGUGUCGAAGCAUUUCCUUACAAGUACCUUCAUAGAUAUGGACGCACUAUGAUUAUAAGACAACUCACAGCUCCAAGGUCCCUGAUUCGAUCUUGAACUCAGGUUACGUGGAGUUUCAGUGUAUGUUCUAACCGUGUCUGCGUGAGUUUCCUCCUGGGUCUCUGGUUUCCUCUCAAAAACAUGUCUAUUAAUGGACUGGCUACUCUAAAUUGCUCCUCGAUGUGAAUGUGUGUGUGCAUGUUGACUUGCGUUGAUGUCCCAUUAAUGGGUAUAUAUUCCUGUCCAGAGAAGGGCUCCAGAUCCACCAAAAAUCCUGACCAGGAUAAAGGGGUUACUAAAGAAGGAAUGACAGAACAGGCAGAAAGGCAUCAAAGCAGCUGCUUUCCUUUUUGUACACACUUGAUAUAUUCUUCUUGGGCACUGGCCAGAUUUUAGGAACAGUAUUUUGACAUGUGUUUAAGGUUUGUUGUUGUAUGUACGCUGAGAACUGUGGAAUGCGUAAGCUAGCUCUGUCUACACUCCCUAACUGCAGGGCCAAGACUGUAAGCGAGGCUCUGAGCACACUUCACUAACUGCAUGUCUGCGCAUCAUUCCUUUGAAAAGUUUGUCAGUGUGACAGCGUCACAGGGGUUUUUGACGCCGUCUGUCACGCUAAAACUCACGCCUGCUUCUGUCGCCGUCAGCUCUUAUCACCGCUCAUUCCUUAAGUUUGUGCUCGCAAAAUAUUCUGCCAAAUAUUACCACCUCCCGCCCCCGUCCGGGAGAGAAUAUGAAAGUGUGAAAUAAUCUCUUUCUCUCAGUUUUAUCUAGGAGUCAUCCUUCAUCCCAGUGCUCAAACAUUCAGGAUUUUCAUCAGUCACUCAACUGAAAAGAAAAGGGAAAAAAAAAAGAAAAAAAGAAGCACGUUAAUGUUUUGAUGUUCAUCUUCUCGAAUAUGAACCAGCAUGACAACCUUAGCGCUCUGAUUCUUUUAAUAUCUCCCAGAAUUAUUUCAUUUCACCUUGGGUUAAAUGCUACUGUCAGAACAUGACUGCAUGUGAAUUUGCCGCAUGCUGAAAACAAUGAUGAGGGGAUGCGGGGGAGGCGUACGUGUGUGCUUUAAUUGCAUUACAAGACAAACAUUUAGGAGCAUAAUACAAAAUAGCAGAGGCACAAUUUUACAGAGCGCAGCCGCAUAAAAACACAGUGCCUCAGAUCAAUUUUGGCAUAUCCAUCACAAUGCCCUAUCAGCGAGGUGCAGAGUAACCUGAUUUAAGGCUGAUUAAUUGGAUUUGUAGGAGGGACACAGAGGGGUGGAGGGGCUCCCAGACAAAAACAAAAGCCCGAGAUUAAUCGCUCGCCCGCGCCAUAACGCUGCUUAGAAAAGCCCAUCUUGAAACAGUUCUUCGACGAAGAAACGACUGCACGAUUCACGCAUAACUUGCUGCCACCGGCGAUGCUUUCCCUCCAACUCGGCUUGUCAGGUGUAAUCAUUUUGUUCAGCUUAAUGUUUUAUGCAAAUGCACUCGAGGGUAAGGUUAGGGUGCUGCUGGGGUGGAGGAUUUGUUGUCUAGCGUGUGUUGUUUUUUUCAAGUGCUCAAAAAAAAAUAUUUGCACUUCUCUGAACAUUGCCCUGAUUAUUUCCUGCUUGCAUCUGUGGGGUUUUGUCUUUGCUGCGUGUGUGUGUCUCCGGUGGGGAUCACAGAGUGUGUGGCACAUCACAAAACCGCCAGCAGCAUAGCUCCCCAAACCCACUGGAGAGAAGAGUAAAGUACAGGACUACAGCAUACCUAAACACUCACUUCCUUUAUUAUACACACCUCACAUGCCAUUGCAUUGGGUGCAACAGAUGUAUGUACUGCAAUCUCCAUUUGAAUAACAGGUUUAUCCACAUAACUGCUUAAAGAAAAAGUUUUAACUUGUUCUAACUGAAGAAAUGAAAGGGUUACUAAGUAUAUUUAUUCUCAUUAUCUCAAGAUACUACUACUACUACUACUACGGCAAGGAUAAUACAAGCUUAAGCUGUCCUUUCAUGCCUAUGCAGUCAAUUCCUAAUUCCCUCAAAUCUAAGCAGGUAUGCAGCACAAACAAUGUGACAGGACCAUGACUGUCAAAUUCCUCUUUUGGAAUACAUUUGAACAUUAAUUAGCCUAUGAAGUUAUGUUACUGCAGACUGAACAAACAUGAUCCUGAACUACUGGACAUCUUUAACAGACCGAUUCGCUUUUUAAAAGCUCCCGCAACACAAAAGCUGAAUUGCAAAUACAGUGGAGUCCAAAAGUAAAUGGUAAAUGGUCUGCACUUAUAUAGCGCUUUACACUGUGUCUCAUUCACCCAUUCACACACACGGUUGCAGAGCUGCCACGCAAGGCGCUAAAUUGUCAUCGGGAGCAACUUGGGGUUCGGUGUCUUGCCCAAGGACACUUCGGCAUGUGGAGUCACGUGGGCCAGGAAUUGAACCGCCAACCCUACGAUUAGUGGACAACCCGCUCUACCACCUGACCCACAGCUGCCCAGUCUGAGAGCACUAGUGAAAAGCUUCAAUUUUGCAUUCGUUUCUAAUUUAACACAACAAUUUUCAUUACAAAUGAUAUUAUUGACAACAACUUGAGUGAAAAGUAGAAUCUUUGAACUAUUUACAUGUUUCUUAGUAUUCUUGCUUUAAUGACAGCGUGCACUCGAGCUGACACGGACUCCACAAGUCGGUAUAUAAUAAUGCAGAUAAAUAAAUAAUACAUCAUGCAGAAUCUUCCAUAUUAAAUAUUCACGAUUUUGAACUUUUACUUUCUUUGUUUUAAAUAUUUCAAAAUUCUAAAACUUUCUGUUCAUUUCCAAUUGUAAAUAAAAAAAUUUUUAAAUCCCAGAUUUUCAAGGUGGUCUCAGACUUUUGGACCCCACUGUAGCUUCCUAUUCGCUAUACAUGUAUAGGUUCACUACACAAGAUAUGAUAUAGUGACCCCGUAGACUCCAAAUAAAGAGAACUUAAGAAAAAGAGUAACUCCAAACAAUGUCCUCUGAGAUUGCUAACUAAGGUGUACAUUUCAAACAUGAUAGAAGUAUAGCAUAAAUGAUUUGCAGAGACAUAUCUCUACAUCCAGUGACAAGCAUCAUUUAGGAAAUGGGUUUUAAUAUAUUUGUGCAAUGUGAAUAGAAGUAGAACAUGGGAUUGUAAAAUGUGGAUUUUGUGCCUUACAUAUAAUAUUAUAAAGUUGAAACUUAAACAAUAAAUCCAUCGUGACAGCCCUAUAUAGGACUGACAUACGCAAUCAUACAAACUAAAGCUACAAACUAAACCUUCAUAGUAUUCAUAUUCACUCCACUCCACAUAAAUAAAAAAGGUAAUCACCCAGAAAAAUCAAUGCCGAGGAAAAGUAGAGGCACAGGGCACGUGUAACAUAGCCCAGGUCCCCACAGUGAACACCUGCCUUUUUGGACUUUUAUUGGCCUAUAUCUUUUUUUAUAGUUAAUCGUCAUCAUCAUCAUCAUCAGAGGACAUCUGAAAUCCAAGAAAAAUGUCAGCGGUGAAGAAGCCAGCGAGCCGCUGAAGAUCUCAAUCCGAUCCAGUAUCUGUGGGAUGUGCUGGACAAACAAGUCCGAUCCCUGGAGGCCCCAACUCGCUACUUACAGGACUUAAAAGACCUGCUGGUAACAUCUUGGUGCCAGAUACCACAGCACACCUUCAGAGGUCUUGUGGAGUCCACGCCUCGACAGGUCAGAGCUGUUUUGGCAAUACAAGGGAGACCUACACAAUAUUAGUCAGGUGGUUUUAAUCUUAUGGCUGAUCAGUGUAUAGAAUAUAUUUAGAAAAUAUAUAUGCUAUAGUGAAGCUAAGUGCCAUUCAUUAAGAAAUGUAAAAAAAAACUGCUGUGGUACUGUAUAAGCAGAAAAAUACCAUUCAGGAUAUACUGUUAGAAGGAAACCUCUGGAUGUCAUUGAUUAUUUUAUAACAGCAUGUCCUAAAGUGUUUUAUUCCUUGCUGGCUCUCACACAAACACAACAACCACAGAGAUUAACACACAUGAUAUUCUGACUUUACUUAUUUGCCACAUCGAAAUUUCUGUCCUAAAAUGUUUAAUAGCAUUUUCCAAGCCCUUCGUUUUCAUGAGAGCAAUGCAGAACAUAAUUUUCAGUGAGCAAUAAUGAUGUGAGGAUCUCAAAUAUGUGCGUAGGCCUAUUUCAUAUUUAGCUCUGAUCACAAUGACAAUUAGGCAACGAUGCUUCACACAAAAGAAACAUUUCAUUAAAAUAUUAGAACCAUACAAGCUGCUGAUUAUUUGCCUGGGAGUAUGACAAAAGAGGGAAGAAGAAAAUAACAAAGGAUGCAAUUAAAACCUUUUAUUUAUUUAUUUAUUUAUUUAUUUUUAAAUAUUUUUUAAAAUAUAUUUGUGAGGCAGUGUCUGUCCCUCUCAUUAGGAACUGGAUUGGGUUCUCACUAAGCUGAAUCCCAUUACGAUGACCUUUACUCAUUACUUCAGCAUUACAGCAUGAGACACAUUCCUCUUUUCUAAUCAUAAUGAGGAGGCCAAUAUACAGACUAAUACAUAAUCUGAUCAGGGGCCUCAGUCUGCAAUUAAAGAGACCUUUUUAAAGUUCACCUCCAUUACAGGCUUGAAGCACUGUGAAUGACGCACUGGCUGGAACUUAAUAACAAACAUGCAGCCGUUAAUUAUGGCCUGUGUUUGUGUGGCUCGAAUGGUUUCGAAUUUUUCGAGAUAUGAUCCCCAGUUGUGACUCUGACACACUCAUAGAAAAACAUAGCUUAGUUAAUUUAGUUAAUUUAGCUGAAAUCAUAGGCAGGUGGGCUAACUUAAACAUACGGUGACACAUUUGUGAGUUUCUACUAGAAAGUGCUAAGAAAAGGCACUUAUUACACUGUCAGAAAAGUUGUGGUACAAUUCCUGCACACAUCUGAUAGAAAAUGAUUUCAAAUUACAGGGGUGUCAAGCUAUGGACAUUUUUCACUGUCAUGAUUUACUGAUACAGGAUUUAUUAUGCAGACUCUAACACCUGACUACAGCACUGUUUCAACAAUAAUGACAGUGAAGAAUAUUAGAUAUGAGCAGACUACUGUACUCACACUAACGGUAAUCACAACAGGACCAGCGAUUAUCAACACAGCUAAAUCCACAGCAGGAUCAAUGUGGCUUAAAUUACCCAUGGUUAAGAAACUGGUUCUCUGUUUCAAUAAAUUUUUUUUUAAAAAGCUCACAACGAUCCCAAGGGUUUGUGCUUUUAUGUCAUAGGAUACAGUAAUGCAGCAUGGCGUUUCAGCUAGAAAUACAGGCUUGAAUGUAUUUAGCAAGAUUUGUCUCAAAAUAUCUAAAUAUGAUAAUAGCCUCAAAAAAAGGUACGCCCUCGGAAGAAAAGACAAUAGUCUGGUGUGACCUCUACUUAAUAAUAGGUAGCUCUUCUGAUUGCCAACCAAAGAGACCAUAGUACCACCCAUUUCGUUUCUAUUGUCACAAUAACAAGGCUUGUGAAUUCACAGGUAAACAUUCACCUAGAUAAAGUCAUGGUGGAGUGGACAGAAGCAAAACAAAUCAUAAAUGCUAUGGCUAAACCAUAGAAGAAGUUGGCACUUUUGUACAGUGGACAUAAGAAGUCUGUUAAUAUGGCAGGUUUUUGUGAAGUCAAAAUAAUUACACUAAGAUAAAUCAUGUCAGAUCUUUUCUCCACCUUUAAUGUGUAAUUGGAAAGUAUACAAAUUAAGUGGAAAAACAAUCUGGAAUUUUUUAGGGAAAAAAAAACAAAAAAACAAAAAAACAAAAAAACUUACAAUAACCUACCUGCAUAAGUGUUCACACCCCUAAACUAAUACUUCGUUGAAGCCCCUUUGAAUUUGUGCAGAUUUUAUUAAACCACUCAGUCUUUUUGUGUAAGAGUCUAUCAGUGUGUCACAUCUUGUCUUGCCAAUAUUUUCCCACUCUUUCUUGCAAAAACAAAAACAUUCUAGAUCCAUCAAAUUGUGAGGGUAUCUCCUGUGUACAGCCUGCUUCAGGUCACCCCUGAGAUUUUUAGCGGGAUUCAGGUCUGGGCUAUAUCUAGAUAAUUCACUGAUCUUCUUUUGGUUAAGCCAUUCCUUUACUGAUCUUCAGCUUACUAGCAGACAGCUAAAAGUUUUGCACUAAAAUCAACUGGUAUUUGUAGCUAUUCAUGAUUCCCUCCACCUUGAUAAAAGCCCCAGCUUUAGCUGAAGAAAAGCAGCCCUAAAGCAUGAUGCUGCCACCACCAUGCUUCACCGUGGGCAUAGUGUUCUUUUGGUGAAGUGCAAUUUUUGGUGCCAAACAUACCUUUUGGAAUUAUUACUGCUCAUUUUGCCACAUGGUGUGAUUCAGUUGAGUUUGGAUGGUUUUUUUUUUGUGAGAAAGGGCUUCCGUCUAGCCACCCUACACCAUAACCCAGACCUGUGAUGAAUACGAGAGAUUGUUGUCACAUGCAGAGGGUAAUCAGUACUUGUCAGAUAUUCCUGCAGCUCCUACAAUAUUGUUUAAUGUUUAAGGGUGUGCACACUUAUGCAACCAUGAUAUUGCAACUUUAUUAUUUAUUUAUUUAUUAAAGCUUUAAUUUUUACAAGUUGUAAUUUCGCACUGAGGGUGGAAAAUGUUCUGAUAUGAUUUAUCUUUUUUCCAUAACAAAAACCUGCCAUUUUACCAAGGGUGUGUAGACUUUUAUAUAGACUGUAGAUGUAUGAAAGGUGCUAUAUAAAUAAACCAUAUUGUCAUUAAUUCAUCUUCAGUAACUGCCUUAUCCUGGUUAGGGUCAUGGUUAAUACAGGACCUAUACUGGGAACACUGGAUACGAGUCAUGAAUAUACCCUGGAUGGGCUUUUAUGGGAUGUGAUGUACACACAAAUUCACACACUCACUUACACCUUGUGCAAAUCCACCUACCAGCACCAGCAUGUUUUUGGGAGGUCGGUGGAAACUGGUGAACCCAGAGAAAACCAUACAUUUACAACAACAACACCAAUAAUUAUAAUAAUAAUAAUAAUAAUAAUACACUGACUCUCCCAAAGUAAGUGUGUUGAGAAUAUGUUUGAAACACACGAACUGAAAAUUGCCAAACUGAAUGAAGUAUAAGUUUAUAAGUAUAUGUUUUUGCUUGAGGAUUUACUGUAGACACUAAAUAUAGAAGCAUUACAUAGUACACCCAUAAGUAAUAAAAUAUUACAAUUGAAAAAAGGCUGAGCUCUUUUCACCACAAUCAUUUCAAACAAGCUUUGAAGCUGGGGGGCCUGCUGAGGGCACAAAUGCUUUUAAUCAAAAUGUCUUCAUGCCACACAGGCUCCUUUCACGAUGGCCAUGCAGACAUCAACUCAAGAUGGAGACAUUUCUCUGACAGCAUGCAUUAUUAAUAUCCAACUACAACUGUGGUAAUAAUUACAUUUAAUAGGUCCAUUCCCAUGCAAUUAACUCUCUCAUGCACACUGCUCGGUCACUACAACACAGGUAAAAGUCACUCCUAUAUAAUAGAGAGAUGCGACACUCUAAGAUUCCUCCAUACAUUUGUUAUGGUGCACAAUCCUGAUGGACCGACAAAGGCUCUGGAGUGGCCGAGCUCCUUUGCUGUGUUUACGUUGUAAGAAAUGAGACAAAACUGUGACCAAAUUCCUCACACUUCCUCCUUUCCACACCUCAUGGGCCAGUGGGUUUGGGUCCGCCACCGCCACGGCUCUGUGGAACUUUGGCUGUGUGCCUUCUCACCCCUUCACAGGUGUUUCCCAUUGCUGACUCGUACUCUCUUCGCACACACUGAAGAGCAACAUUGUUUUAAGUGUGAGGGUUGCAGGCCCCCUGCAGCAGGCACUGACAGGCCCAGAAGCCCAUGUUUAUCUGUAUGCAUAAAACCCACACUGCACGCUCUACUCUACACAGGCACAAGGGACGGCACAUGGUUUUAACAUUACUGUGACUUUAAGGGGCCAGAAAGAACCUUGUCUGGUCCUUUGACAACUUAAAUGGGCAUGGCUGAAGAUGCAACCAUGCAAACAGAGCACUUUCAUGGAUUGUCUAUACUCUAGAGAUUUUUUUUUUUAUUCAGUAAAUGCUUUAUCCUGGUCAGGGCCGUGGUGGAUCCCAAGUAUAUCCGUGGAAUACUGGACGUGAGGCAGGGACACACCCUCAAUGGGACUCCAGUCCAUCUCAGGACACACACACACACACACACACACAUUCAUUCACAGCUGGGGGUCAAUAUAGAGUAGCAUUGUUUUGGGAGGUGGGAGGAAACCAGAGAAAACCCACAAAGACACAGGGAGAACAUGCAAAACUCACAUACUGAAAAUUUACUCCAAAUCAUACUACUCUUUGGUUCAGCAUUGCGGUACUGCAAUUCUCAAAUGGAAUCUCACUGUUAUUGUGGAUAUAUUUGUAGAUAUAUUUCAUCCGGAGUCUCAGAAAGCUAGGGGUAUUUGCUCUUACUACGAUGUAACCUACAGACGAGUGACAAGUAAUGCCACCAACAGCAUUAAAAAAGACGUCGGAACUCCUCACUGUAGAGGACUUGUGGAGAACAUGGUGAAUGACUCAUCUGUGGUUUUUGCAGCACUGUACUCUCAAAUGUGCAAAUUUGCACUGAAACCCUACUGCAAUAUCCCUCUCUAGGUAGCGGUGGACAAAUUCCUCUUGCUGACAGUCUGAUCACAUCCUAUAUUAACAUUCUCAGUCAAUGACUAUGUGAUUUAAACCACAACAUCCAAUUCUAUUUACUGUCUUUCAAAUAGAUGUGAAUACAGAUAACUCUUUAGUCAUGGUUCCUAUUUAAUCAGAGCCAGCUAAGCAGCAUUUGUGACUGAAGCUCCUUCCAUCCGUACCCCAAUAAUAAACCCUGUUUCAAAGUCACUUUUGCAAGGUGGACUAGGCCUACUCAAGAAUCUUAUACUAUACAGAGUGUGGUAUGGGGUUAACUGCUUAAUUAUAUAAUUUUAUACCAGUGUUGUUGAAUUAAAUUUCUAUAACAGCACAACUCUGACAGUAGAGCUUUAAUUUAAACAAUAUUAAUUCAAAACAUAUUAAUGCACUCAUAUAAUACUAAUUUAAGUAUCUAAAUAAUAAUCUACAUAAACUAAGGCUGAUAAUAUGUGGACAUAUUUUAUAUAAUAAACAGACAUAUAUUAAAAAUAUAAUUGUAUAAUCAUUUUUGUAAGGAGAUUAACAUUUCAGUGUUUUAUAAUGGUUACUAAGUUUUCCUCCACAUGAGAGUCUUCAAGACAGAGGACAUUCUGGUUUCUCAGUAACACCUGGUCUUAGUGCUUUCAAUCCAAAUUUAAUUCCAUUUAUUGACUGAGAAAAAAAAGAGAUGAUGCUGUUUAUAGCUGCUAAUGUAAGUGAUAACUUGUCUCGCAGAUGAUCUAGAACAUUAAAUGUAACUAUAAACAGUUAGAAAGUAUAACGUGUCAUUCACUAACAAAUAAAAAUUGUAUUAGCUGGCAAAUCACUGCGGUGUAAGAGGAAUAAAUACUGUAGAUCAGAGAUUGACCAGAGUUUCCUUGGUGAUGCAGUUUUCAUAUAUGAUUAAACUGCGACAAUAAAAAUAGUCUAAGAGUCUAAAACUCUUUUAGUGUCGGUGAUUUUUCUGAGUAGCAUCAUGAAUCAUGCCUUUUUAUUCAUAAAUCAUGAAUAACCAGUAGUCAUUCAUGUAGUUAGAGUAUGGUAACAUUCAGUAUGCUUACAGGGACAAUAAUCCAAUAUUAACCCGAUAACAAUACUCUGAUUAAAAACUAGCAUGUAAACAGUGAUUAUUGAUUACCUUAAUCUGAUUAAAGUCAUACUCGAAGUAAACACGAAUCAAAUUAAGACAUGUGGAGUAUUCCUGUUUUAGUCGCAUUAUCGACGUGUAUUACAGACAUGUACACACCUUAAUCACAUUAUUAAUGUCGUGUGGGAGUUUUCACCACAUUUUGCGACAGGACACGUACACACACGCAGCGCUCAACCGUUGACGGCAAACAAGAGAGCACGGCUGCGUCCCAAACCACGUACUUAACUGCUAUAUAGUAGGAGAAAUACAUAUGUUUCAGCUAAUAUAUAGUAGGUAAGUAUGUGGUUUAGAACACAGUCCACGGCUUCAAGCAGUCGUCUAUUAGCACGUAUGGCAUGACAAAUAAAUAACUGCACUUGAAACUUUUGUAAAAUUAAAAAUGAAACACCCAAAACUGUAUACGGUACCAUAACGAAGACGAACGGUACGUCGAUACGUGAAAUUCUGGAGGGGACGUCGGGCGGUGUGGCGUAGGGACGUAAUGACGUGUGCCGUUAAUCGAGUUAUGUUCUAUAACAUGUAAAACAGGAACAUGAAAGGAGCAUUCUAAAAGCGCCUCGUGUAAACACCUUAAUCAUAAUAUUGUCUUAUUCAGAAUAAGGUCAAUAAUUAGAUUAGUGCUGUGCAUGUAAACGUAGUCAGUAACAGUGCAUCUAGAAACCUAACAAGUUUAUCAGUUCAGUUGACCCUCUGGGGAACCCUUAAAGGUUCUACAUAGAACCCUACAACAGAGCAUCUCCCAAUCAGAGAGAGUUCCAAUGCCGUUCCACAGUGGAAAAUCUUUACCUCUCCAAGGGAUUCAUGAGGAACCCAUAAGAGUGUAGGGCUGCACAAAAGGGACAAAACUACUAAACAUAGUCUGUGGACCAAAAUAAUUCACACCAAUAGCAAGAUUUAUUAAGGGGAAAAAACCCCAAAGAAAACAUAACUGGAACAUGUCUGUAAUUAGUCAGAACGAUCACAGAACAUAAUACAAAUCUGCGGUUUGUUUAGAAUUUUGCAAAAAGCCAAUUGUGAGAUAAUAAUUAACAAACAAUAUACCGGGCAGCCCUAGGAUACAAUGAAAGUUUCUUUCAGUAUGAUGUGAAGCACACUUUAGAACGUACGGAUAAUAUAACCCACAAUCAUAUGUGUAAAUCAACAGCACCUACACCAGCAAUUAAGUAAAGACCAGGCAUUGGCUAAUAGCAUAUUGGAAUGAUAUCAUUGUUUUCUCUGCAGUUUGGGUGAAUCAUUAGUUCACCUCUGAAUGCCUAUAAUGUGGGUAAUUGCGGGACAGCUGCUUCCUUGCUACACCGGUGUCAAAGAUACAAGGAUCCACUGUAGGCGGUCUGCUCCUGUUUUAGCCACCUACCUUUCAAGUGCACUCACAACAUAUAGGCAGCACCUCUGACACGCCAGUGAAAGCAGGAGCGCCUGACUGAGAUUGCUCAGUAAUUCUGGCCACAUGAUUGACUUUAUGAUCGCUUUAGUAGCGCAACCAGUCGUUAUGCUUUCAACCCAUGCCAAAAGUUUCCUGUGAGAAAGUGAUGGGGAAUUAGGAGGGGAGGGGGUGGGGUAAGUGGGGGAGGGCUGGGGGUUGCAUUCAAGCACUCUGUUGAAGAGCGUGCAAAGCCAUUCCUUCAUAGACCCUCCUUCGUACACUUUUAAUGGCACAGAAUUAUUGGCCUGGGUGGAACGCAACCAAUGUCUUGGUUUAAAGCACCAUACGUUGACAGGAGUGACACGGCCAUUUUCCCGUGCUCCAUUAGUGCAGAGAAGAGCCAGCCCUAGUGCUCUUAAAAGGCCUGAGCAUGAACGCAAGCACAUCGGCUCCUUCACCAUUAUCCUCUGAUGGCUGUUAUUUUCAUAUUGACAAAUUGGUAAAACUGUCAUGCUAGUCAUACUGCGUGUCAUACUAGUGUUUUAUAUAUGUUCUGUAUGGAAAGAAUUCUGUCACGUGUGUGACUCAUUAUGAAAUCAUACUGUCGGUAUAGCUGCAUAUUAAACCUUAUAUCACAUGGUUAUCUACAGAGGUUGUAAAAGAAAACAGAUAGGAUUAAAAGGACAUUUUUAUCUACUUCAUGUAAACAGAUCUUUGAUUUGAUACAUGAUGGAUUACUUAAUAGUACUUACUGUUGUGAUUGAUGCUGUUUAUUAUUAUUUUUGGAAUAAUCAGUUACAGUAAAUUCAUUUCAAUGUUUUCCUUACCAUAGGAAAGGCUUAGGUGUGGCACCUAAGUGUUUUUGUGGCGCACCUUAAGCCGAAUUAACAUAAAAAGGCAUUCAUUUUCAUUAAAUCUCAAAUGUGUUAUUUGGUGAAAUGAAUAGACCUUUAACUGUAAGUAGAAUAAGUGUUGUCAGCUUUCUUUCACAAAUACGGUAAGGAUAAUGAAUAAUGUUAAGGUUCAUGAAUGAAUAAUGUAUGAUAAUAAAACUUAAAAUAACUUCAAAUUUCAUAAUCAUUUCUUAAUAACUUCAAAACCCCCAACCAUUACCACCCUCCCGAACCCAGUCAGCACCUAAGCCCUCUCAAAACCUAGAGAGACCCCUGCAUUUCAAUUUGUUUUGAUCCCUUGAAGUGAAAAGUAAUUAGUAGACAAAAAUGAUGCUUUAAUUCUUUUAAUGUGCAGAUUCUGGCAUCUGCUUGACGGUUUUGCUUUAAUUUAUAAAGAAAUCAGACAAGGGGGAUUUCUGAGAUCCUGAAACCCUGACAGUGAAAGUCUCUGCUGGUUUAUAUGCAGGCUUUGGAGAGUAAUAACGCAUCUUUCAGCAGGAAAACUCCACAACUGUGGGCUCCUAUCAGACGAGAGCUAUGGGAAAGCGCUGCUCCACGGAGAGUACAGAGAUGCACCGGCGGUUUUGGAUCUACAGGACGUGUGUAUAUGUUUGCAUAUGUCCAUGUAUACAUCUGAGAAUUAUUGGGUUUUCAUCACCAGAUGCUUUCAAAGCGGCACAUCAUUAAAGUUUCCUCAUCAGAAAAAAAAAAGAAAGAAAAAGAAAAAGAAAAAGAAAGACAUUGUUCUUCUGUAGCUAUCUGCUAUUUCUAUUUCCUUCUACUUCUCUUCCUGGCACAUGAGUUGGCAAGCGAGACUUUCUUUUACAGCACAACUGCACUGGCUCCCUGACAGCACAGCAGCUCCAGAGAUGGCGCAUUCUGCUGCUGUCUAAAGGGACCCAGCUUCUCUUUCAUAAAUCCCUCAAACAUGUCUGCAGCAUUUCUAGACGACAUCAUUAAUGCUGCACUGAAAACGCCAGCGUUGGUCCAAAGCGAGGCUCGGGAGCGCCCCAGAGCCUUCUGAAACUGUACAUCAGUGUAUGAUGUUUUGGCAAACCCAUAGCUUCCACAAGCUCUUAUACCAACUGGAAAACCCGGGCCAGCCCUCAGCGGCAGCAUCCCCCGAUGAGAGGCUAAUCCGUAAUUACCACACAGAGAUGAUUAGUUACUCCAAAGCCUAAUAAAUUUCAUUUAGGCUCUGCAGCUGGCAAGGGAAAUGCAGAUAGGAUAGAAUGAGAGGCUGGUGAACCUUCUUGGUGAUCCAUGAUUUAGUGAUGCUGCUAAAAAAAAAAAAAACAAGUUCUCCCUGUUAGUGUGUCCCAGCUAGGAUGUAU